Molecule: long non-coding RNA, 984 nt
Organism: Triticum dicoccoides
Lineage: Eukaryota; Viridiplantae; Streptophyta; Magnoliopsida; Poales; Poaceae
Exons: 2
Source: RefSeq, a predicted model, not a curated record
UUCAGGCUUGGGGUGGCACAGUAGUAGGAUAGCAGGAUGAGUUGGAUGUGUUCUUCAGAGACCAGGUGAUGUCGUUGCCGAAAGUCUGCCAUCAUGGGAAAAUUCGGGAUCCCAACAAAAGUGCUUCUGGAUGCUAUGAAGCAACAGCUUAGCCUUCCAAGCGAAAGUAAGACAUUGUAAGCAAGACAUUUCCCAUGACGGCAGACUGAUGACGGCAGACAUAAACUCCUAUGACGACAAACUGAUGACGGCAGACUUAAAAAUGCUUCUGGAUGGUGUGCAGAGGUUUCUUAGUUCUUGUACUGCACCCCAUUCUUUUAGAAAUUGAAACUACUCCAGCGUCCAGUGUUAGCUAAGAGCUAAGAUGAGUACACGAAUUUUCUGUAGAGAUUGUUGCAAGGAGACAUCUUUGUCCAGUGUUAGCUAAAUUUUAUUGGUCUCGGCAUUGGACUAUCUAUGCAUUGGUCUCACAUCUUAUUUUCGGAACAUUUGAGUACUCUUCAAAUAUGCAUACACUGCAUAUUUUCAGUGAUAGUCUGAAAAUAUGCAUAUACACUGUACAGCAGCAUAUUGAAAACAUUCAGGUUUUAGUAUAACUGAAUUUUUUGUUACAUACACUCUGCGCUUCUUCUAUAGCUGAAUUUUCUGUUACAUACACUCUGCACUUCUGCUUUAACUGAAUUUAUUUUUCAGGUUUUGUACAUCAGCCUACUGAAAACAUUCAGUCAUUGACAAAUCAUGACAUUACAAUCUGACAAAUCAUGCAUGCAAAAUCUGACCAACUGUAAAAGCUUGUCAAAGCUCUCAUUCCUUGUUAUGUUAUAAACUGAAUGCCAAGAUAGAUUUCUCAAUGUACAAAUUGUUUGCACUUUCUGAGCACUGAAAUCUGUAUAUUUUAGAUAAAGUAGCACUUGCCAGUAGAAGUCAUGGUUGGAUCAACAUAUUUUUCCACUGGAAUCCUUUUUUAAUGCAAGUUUACAGCUA